GAUGAACGCUGGCGGCGUGCCUAACACAUGCAAGUCGAGCGAUCUUCUUCGGAAGAGAGCGGCGGACAGGUGAGUAACGCGUGGGUAACCUGCCCUGUACACACGGAUAACAUACCGAAAGGUAUGCUAGUACGGGGUGACAUAUGAAAGUCGCACGGCUUUUAUAUCAAAGCUCCGGCGGUACAGGAUGGACCCGCGUCUGAUUAGCUAGUUGGUAAGGUAACGGCUUACCAAGGCGACGAUCAGUAGCCGACCUGAGAGGGUGAUCGGCCACACUGGAACUGAGACACGGUCCAGACUCCUACGGGAGGCAGCAGUGGGGAAUAUUGCACAAUGGGCGAAAGCCUGAUGCAGCAACGCCGCGUGAGCGAUGAAGGCCUUCGGGUCGUAAAGCUCUGUCCUCAAGGAAGAUAAUGACGGUACUUGAGGAGGAAGCCCCGGCUAACUACGUGCCAGCAGCCGCGGUAAUACGUAGGGGGCUAGCGUUAUCCGGAAUUACUGGGCGUAAAGGGUGCGUAGGCGGUCUUUCAAGCCAGAAGUGAAAGGCUACGGCUCAACCGUAGUAAGCUUUUGGAACUGUAGGACUUGAGUGCAGGAGAGGAGAGUAGAAUUCCUAGUGUAGCGGUGAAAUGCGUAGAUAUUAGGAGGAAUACCAGUAGCGAAGGCGGCUCUCUGGACUGUAACUGACGCUGAGGCACGAAAGCGUGGGGAGCAAACAGG
This 720-nucleotide ribosomal RNA is filed under the name uncultured bacterium. RNAcentral describes it as "bacterial SSU rRNA". It matches the Rfam family "Bacterial small subunit ribosomal RNA", at positions 28 to 776 of the family's 1533-position model. The record is from RNAcentral.